GUAGACAUAGUUUAACCAAAACAUUAGAUUGUGAAUCUAACUAUAGAAGCUCACCACCUCUUGCCUACC
This 69-nucleotide transfer RNA is filed under the name Miopithecus ogouensis (Gabon talapoin). RNAcentral's name for it is "tRNA-His". It matches the Rfam family "tRNA". From Rfam's summary of the family: Transfer RNA (tRNA) molecules are approximately 80 nucleotides in length. The record is from RNAcentral. Lineage: Eukaryota; Metazoa; Chordata; Mammalia; Primates; Cercopithecidae.